GAGUUUUUCGAGCAGUUGAGAAAUUGGAGAGAGAGAGGCGACUGAUGAGGGGAGGGGGGAAACGUGACUGAUGAAAGGGGGAAAAAGAAGGGUAGGGUUGGGCUUGGGGUGUCGGGCCGAGUAUUGGGCCGAGUUCUUUUUUUUUUUUUUUGAGUCAGUUGGGCCAAUUUUCCAUUUGUUUUGAAUAAAUGUUUGGGCCCUUAUUUUAUUUAAAGACUUUGGACUGCCUUCAAUUAAUUUAAUUGGGCUGUCUUAUGUUUUAUUAAUUGAACU
This 273-nucleotide long non-coding RNA is filed under the name Salvia miltiorrhiza (redroot sage). RNAcentral describes it as "long non-coding RNA (SMIL_LNC012017)". The record is from RNAcentral. Lineage: Eukaryota; Viridiplantae; Streptophyta; Magnoliopsida; Lamiales; Lamiaceae.